Molecule: ribosomal RNA, 468 nt
Filed under: uncultured bacterium
Lineage: Bacteria
Description: partial 16S ribosomal RNA
Rfam family: Bacterial small subunit ribosomal RNA
Source: RNAcentral
UGGGGAAUAUUGCACAAUGGGCGCAAGCCUGAUGCAGCCAUGCCGCGUGUGUGAAGAAGGCCUUCGGGUUGUAAAGCACUUUCAGCGAGGAGGAAGGUGGUGAGCUUAAUACGCUCAUCAAUUGACGUUACUCGCAGAAGAAGCACCGGCUAACUCCGUGCCAGCAGCCGCGGUAAUACGGAGGGUGCAAGCGUUAAUCGGAAUUACUGGGCGUAAAGCGCACGCAGGCGGUUUGUUAAGUCAGAUGUGAAAUCCCCGGGCUCAACCUGGGAACUGCAUUUGAAACUGGCAAGCUAGAGUCUCGUAGAGGGGGGUAGAAUUCCAGGUGUAGCGGUGAAAUGCGUAGAGAUCUGGAGGAAUACCGGUGGCGAAGGCGGCCCCCUGGACGAAGACUGACGCUCAGGUGCGAAAGCGUGGGGAGCAAAACAGGAUUAGAUACCCUGGUAGUCCACGCUGUAAAACGAUGUC